AUUGAACGCUAGCGGCAUGCUUUACACAUGCAAGUCGAACGAGUGGCGGACGGGUGAGAUAUAUAUCGGAACGCGCCCAGUAGCGGGGGAUCACUACUCGACAGAGUGGCUAAUACCGCAUACUCUUGGAGCGGCCGAUAUCGGAUGAGCUAGUUGGUGGGGUAAGGGCGCACCAAGGCGACGAUCCGUAGCUGGUUUGAGAGGAUGACCAGCCACACUGGGACUGAGACACGGCCCAGACUCCUACGGGAGGCAGCAGUGGGGAAUUUUGGACAAUGGGCGAAACCCUGAUCCAGCCAUCCCGCGUGUAUGAGAAGGCCUUCGGGUUGUAAAGUACUUUCGGCAGAGAAGCGUUAUCUGCAGAAUAAGCACCGGCUAACUACGUGCCAGCAGCCGCGGUAAUUC
Molecule: ribosomal RNA, 405 nt
Filed under: uncultured bacterium
Lineage: Bacteria
Description: partial 16S ribosomal RNA
Rfam family: Bacterial small subunit ribosomal RNA
Source: RNAcentral